GCCUCGGUAGCUCAGUCGGUAGAGCAGAGGACUGAAAAUCCUCGUGU
Molecule: transfer RNA, 47 nt
Filed under: Bacillota bacterium
Lineage: Bacteria; Bacillati; Bacillota
Description: tRNA-Phe
Rfam family: tRNA
About the family: Transfer RNA (tRNA) molecules are approximately 80 nucleotides in length. Their secondary structure includes four short double-helical elements and three loops (D, anti-codon, and T loops). Further hydrogen bonds mediate the characteristic L-shaped molecular structure. tRNAs have two regions of fundamental functional importance: the anti-codon, which is responsible for specific mRNA codon recognition, and the 3' end, to which the tRNAs corresponding amino acid is attached (by aminoacyl-tRNA synthetases). tRNAs cope with the degeneracy of the genetic code in two manners: having more than one tRNA (with a specific anti-codon) for a particular amino acid; and 'wobble' base-pairing, i.e. permitting non-standard base-pairing at the 3rd anti-codon position.
Source: RNAcentral